UACGGAGGGUGCAAGCAUUAAUCGGAAUUAUUGGGCGUAAAGGGCGCGUAGGCCGAUUCGAAAGUCAGAUGUGAAAUUCCGAAGCUCAACUUCGGAGCUGCAUUUGAAACUGUGAAUCUAGAGGGAUGGCGGAGAAAAUGGAAUUCCACAAGUAGCGGUGAAAUGCGUAGAUAUGUGGAAGAACACCGGUGGCGAAGGCGGUUUUCUAGCUUUCUCCUGACGCUGAGGCGCGAAAGCAAGGGGAGCAAACAGG
This 253-nucleotide ribosomal RNA is filed under the name uncultured bacterium. Its description in RNAcentral is "partial 16S ribosomal RNA". It matches the Rfam family "Bacterial small subunit ribosomal RNA", at positions 524 to 776 of the family's 1533-position model. The record is from RNAcentral.